RNAcentral lists this ribosomal RNA (382 nucleotides) under uncultured eukaryote. RNAcentral describes it as "partial 18S ribosomal RNA". It matches the Rfam family "Eukaryotic small subunit ribosomal RNA", at positions 592 to 976 of the family's 1831-position model. The record is from RNAcentral.
UGUGAGCGUAUACCAAAGUUGUUGCAGUUAAAACGCUCGUAGUCGGAAUUUGGCAGUUCCGGAUGUGUGCACGUCGCGUGCGCACUUCGCGGGGAUUGCUUUUGUGGUCUUGCGUAGGAUGAGGCACUUUUAUUAGUGAACGUCCUCACGCAACCACUUUUUACUGUGAGAAAAUCAGAGUGCUCAAAGCAGGCAUUUGCCGUGAAUGUAUUAGCAUGGAAUAAUAGAAUAGGACUUGGUUCUAUUUUGUUGGUUUGUUGGGACUGAGUAAUGAUUAAGAGGGACAGUUGGGGGCAUUUGUAUUUCGGUGCUAGAGGUGAAAUUCUUAGAUUACCGAAAGACAAACUGCUGCGAAAGCGUCUGCCAAGGAUGUUUUCAUUGA